Molecule: non-coding RNA, 45 nt
Organism: Schistosoma curassoni
Lineage: Eukaryota; Metazoa; Platyhelminthes; Trematoda; Strigeidida; Schistosomatidae
Source: Rfam
AUACAGCUGACGAGUCCCAAGUAGGACGAAACGCGCGUCCUGGAU